Molecule: long non-coding RNA, 315 nt
Organism: Mytilus californianus (California mussel)
Lineage: Eukaryota; Metazoa; Mollusca; Bivalvia; Mytilida; Mytilidae
Exons: 3
Source: RefSeq, a predicted model, not a curated record
CAUAACUGACCGUAACUUGACUGUUUCAGAAAGAUGAGAGAAGUGCAGAGGAAAUCAUCAUCUGUCUUGGUAUGCUAAAAGAGGAGAUAAAGAACAGUAGCAAAUAUGCUGCUAGGCCAUUGACCAGCAGUAGGAUACUAAGAAAGGAGAAGCUCUUAUUGACCUGUAAAAUGAAAACAGGACAUUUUCAAAUUGUUUUGUUGUAGGGAUGGGGUACAAGUAGAAGAUUGGUCAAUAUUAUGUACAUGUACCUUGAUAUGAAUUUAUUUUUGAUUGUGUUCAAUGAUAAACUGGAAAUAAAUGAUAACAUAAAUU